Molecule: long non-coding RNA, 475 nt
Organism: Dreissena polymorpha
Lineage: Eukaryota; Metazoa; Mollusca; Bivalvia; Myida; Dreissenidae
Exons: 4
Source: RefSeq, a predicted model, not a curated record
CAUCUUGAAAGAGGAGAGGGCUCAAAUAUUGCUUCGAAAUAUUUCAAAACCAAAGAUGCUAUAGACGAGUGUCUAAAAGCAACAGUUACAGAUGUCGCAUUUGUUUAUGGCAAUGGAAAUCCAAGCAUUUUGAAACAAGAGUGUGUCGCAGUUGCUGAGCAUGUGUCAAGUGUUAUUGAAAAUACUAAAUAUUUACGAAGAAUAACCAUUCUGUUACCGGAUGCCCUCUUGAAAGAAACAGUUGACAAACUUCUUGCUACAAAUUCAUAUCUUCCUGGAUUUUCUAAAUGGACACUGAUAAAAUCAACUGACCUUGAUGUAGCUUACAGGGUGUGUUCUAUGGAAGAGAAAGAUAUACAUAAAGUUGAAUAGUAUGCUAGUUUCGUCAAGCCAGUUUUAGGAUCCGGACCAGAUUACAAUAUAGAUGAAUAUGAUGUUAUUCAACAUGUGGAGACAACUGAAUAUCAGCAUGAGG